UGCCAGACUCCUACGGGAGGCAGCAGUGGGGAAUAUUGCACAAUGGGGGAAACCCUGAUGCAGCGACGCCGCGUGAGUGAAGAAGUAUUUCGGUAUGUAAAGCUCUAUCGGCAGGGAAGAAGUUGACGGUACCUGAGUAAGAAGCCCCGGCUAACUACGUGCCAGCAGCCGCGGUAAUACGUAGGGGGCAAGCGUUAUCCGGAUUUACUGGGUGUAAAGGGAGCGUAGACGGCGGUGCAAGUCUGAAGUGAAAGCCCCGGGCUUAACCCGGGAAGUGCUUUGGAAACUGUACGGCUGGAGUGCUGGAGAGGGAAGCGGAAUUCCUAGUGUAGCGGUGAAAUGCGUAGAUAUUAGGAGGAACACCAGUGGCGAAGGCGGCUUACUGGACAGUAACUGACGUUGAGGCUCGAAAGCGUGGGGAGCAAACAGGAUUAGAUACCCCCGUAAAC
This 449-nucleotide ribosomal RNA is filed under the name uncultured bacterium. RNAcentral's name for it is "bacterial SSU rRNA". It matches the Rfam family "Bacterial small subunit ribosomal RNA", at positions 329 to 795 of the family's 1533-position model. The record is from RNAcentral.